This 497-nucleotide ribosomal RNA is filed under the name uncultured bacterium. RNAcentral describes it as "partial 16S ribosomal RNA". It matches the Rfam family "Bacterial small subunit ribosomal RNA", at positions 28 to 507 of the family's 1533-position model. The record is from RNAcentral.
GAUGAACGCUGGCGGCGUGCCUAAUACAUGCAAGUCGAGCGAACGGACGAGAAGCUUGCUUCUCUGAUGUUAGCGGCGGACGGGUGAGUAACACGUGGAUAACCUACCUAUAAGACUGGGAUAACUUCGGGAAACCGGAGCUAAUACCGGAUGAUAUUUUGAACCGCAUGGUUCAAAAGUGAAAGACGGUCUUGCUGUCACUUAUAGAUGGAUCCGCGCUGCAUUAGCUAGUUGGUAAGGUAACGGCUUACCAAGGCAACGAUGCAUAGCCGACCUGAGAGGGUGAUCGGCCACACUUGAACUGAGACACGGUCCAGACUCCUACGGGAGGCAGCAGUAGGGAAUCUUCCGCAAUGGGCGAAAGCCUGACGGAGCAACGCCGCGUGAGUGAUGAAGGUCUUCGGAUCGUAAAACUCUGUUAUUAGGGAAGAACAUAUGUGUAAGUAACUGUGCACAUCUUGACGGUACCUAAUCAGAAAGCCACGGCUAACUACGUG